Long non-coding RNA from Fundulus heteroclitus (mummichog), 1984 nucleotides. RefSeq lists it as uncharacterized. The transcript has 3 exons. The record is from RefSeq and is a predicted model, not a curated record. Lineage: Eukaryota; Metazoa; Chordata; Actinopteri; Cyprinodontiformes; Fundulidae.
GGGUGCUCCAGACCACUCUGCUGAAUACAUCACAAAUCUCCAAUCCUUCUGACAUACUAAAGCUCACCAACUAUGACAUUUUUUGUGUGUUUUCCAUUCAGACGGAAACAGAUAAUGAUCUUAAUCAUGACACGUGUUUUAUUCAUUUAUUUAUUUAUUUUUAUUUUAGUCUAAAGGCAUGAGAUCUUUUAGCAAAGAGGAAUCCUUUAAUCUGGUCACAGGGGAACCGUCCAGGGUGGCUUUGUUGUCAAGGCGCGCUUCAAAACAACUGUCUAGCAGCUGCUAGCAGACCCACAAGUCUGUUCGCACAGAGCGGUUUAAAAAAGCCGCAGGAAAUAAGGCAUCUCAAGUAUACGUGAGAGAAAAGAAAACGUACGUCUCUUACAUCAUGUCAGCAUUAAUUAAAAUUUUAUCUUUCAAACAUAAAUAUAGAACAAAGGGCUAUUUUUUGCUCCUUUCUCAAACUGAAAUAUUUCAGAUCUUUCAGACAAAAAUGAGCAGAAUAAAUACAUUACGGUGCUUUCAAAGGAUGAUUUUGGUUAAAAAAUAUGUGAAAAAGUUAUACCGUCAUGUUAAAUCCUUUAUUAAAGCUGAGUUCAAUUUCAACAGCCCCUCCUAAACCAGGAUUAUUACCUCAGUCCCAGUCCUAGCUUGCCAAACGCUGGGCACCCACCCCCCUUUAGUAGCUACUAAAGCUACCAACAGCAACUUUGUAGGGUAAGAUUUUCACUGCAGGUCACGUAAAUGUCACGUGACGAAAUGUCGGCAACCUGUCAUGCACCCUCAGCGUCAAUAUAUGACGAGAGCGGUACCCCGUCACAUCAGUAUCUGACGCGUGGGGGCGGGGGGUGUUGCCCAAGCGUCAAUAUUUGACGGGUUGGAAGUGAGACUGUGUUAACCUAACCCCUAGAAUCAAGAUGUCACUUAAAGAGAACCUGUCUGACAACAUCAAGUAGGCCAAAAGACCUCCAAAAGUAAGACGCCAUGGUCCGAUCCAAAGGAAUUCAAGAAUAGAUGAUACAAAGGAAGAGAAAAAGAUGAGGCAAAAACAUUAAAAUGGAGAAAAGGUGACAAGAAUAGAUCAGAGGAAAAAGGGAGCACAAGAUAACAUCCUCCAAGUCUUCUCCUACACCUGCACAACGAGAUAGUGAACGAACAGCAAAACCAACCAAAAGGUUUCACAGGUACAAACAACCAACGCCUUUGAUAACAUCACUGAAAAAUAUGAAGUCACAGCAUUUUUAAGUCUUUGGGAAUCCCUGGAACCACAAUGAGAGCCAUUAGCCACCAACAAAAAAUACGGACCAGCAUGGAAGCUUCCCAGCAGAGCCAAGCCGACCAAAAUUACUCCAAGAGCACAUGCCCGCGCUUACUUAGACUGUGUCACCACAAUAAUAAAAACACACCAUCAACUGAGUGUCUAAAGGGAAAAAUCCAAAUUAAGGUUUCAAAGUGGCCUAAAACCAAAUUGAGACGUUGUCAUGACUUUAUACCGGGCCGUUCACGCUCAACAACCUUCUAAUGAGGCUGAAUUUAAACUAUUCUGGAAGGAAGACUGGGCCAAAUUUAUUCCACUGCGAUGUGAAAGAGUCAUUGGCAGUUGUUGCAAAUGCUUUAACUGCCAUUGUUGCCGCCAAGGAUGGUACAUCCUGUUAUUAUGUGUGGAGUGUGACUACUUUUUCAUAUAGGGCCGGGCUGUUAGGUUAGCCGAUUGCUCCUAAGAAAUGGAAUCACCAUCUGAGAACUGCUUCUUCUACCUAAUCAGACUUUCAGAGGACAAUCUGAGUCCAACCAGAGCCAAAGACGUGACUGGAACACAAGGUUAUUGGUCGAGAAAGAAAAGGAACAGGACUCGAUCCCGCACCAUGGGAGAUCGGGCCUUUUCCUGUGCCGCCCCACGGCUGUGGAACAACCUGCCUCCACAUCUGAGGGUUCUUCAGACCCUGUCACAUUUUAAAACAGUCCAUAAAACCUUCCUUUUUAU